GGCGGAUGUAGCCAAGUGGAUCAAGGCAGUGGNUUUUGUGAAUCC
This 45-nucleotide transfer RNA is filed under the name Tetrastigma triphyllum. Its description in RNAcentral is "partial tRNA-His". Lineage: Eukaryota; Viridiplantae; Streptophyta; Magnoliopsida; Vitales; Vitaceae. The record is from RNAcentral.